UUGACCUCAGAUCAGGUAGGAAUACCCGCUGAACUUAAGCAUAUCAAUAAGCGGAGGAAAAGAAACCAACAGGGAUUGCCCUAGUAACGGCGAGUGAAGCGGCAACAGCUCAAAUUUGAAAUCUGGCGCAAGCCCGAGUUGUAAUUUGUAGAGGAUGUUUCUGGCGACGUGCCUUCCGAGUUCCCUGGAACGGGACGCCAUAGAGGGUGAGAGCCCCGUACGGUUGGAUGCCUAGCCUCUGUGAAACUCCUUCGACGAGUCGAGUAGUUUGGGAAUGCUGCUCUAAAUGGGAGGUAUACGUCUUCUAAAGCUAAAUACCGGCCAGAGACCGAUAGCGCACAAGUAGAGUGAUCGAAAGAUGAAAAGCACUUUGAAAAGAGGGUUAAAAAGUACGUGAAAUUGUUGAAAGGGAAGCGUUCAUGACCAGACUUGGGCAGGUUGAUCAUCCGUGGUUCUCCGCGGUGCACUCUGCCUGCCCAGGCCAGCAUCAGUUCGCCCCGGGGGAUAAAGGUUUUGGGAAUGUGGCUCCCUCGGGAGUGUUAUAGCCCACUGCGUAAUACCCUGGGGUGGACUG
Molecule: ribosomal RNA, 574 nt
Filed under: Clonostachys pseudochroleuca
Lineage: Eukaryota; Fungi; Ascomycota; Sordariomycetes; Hypocreales; Bionectriaceae
Also listed under: 1 other name
Description: eukaryotic LSU rRNA
Rfam family: Eukaryotic large subunit ribosomal RNA
Source: RNAcentral